GACGAACGCUGGCGGCGUGCUUAACACAUGCAAGUCGAACGCGCCUGUCCUCUGGGUUUCUGGGGGGUGGGUGAGUGGCGAACGGGUGAGUAACACGUGAGUAACCUGCCCCCUUCUUCGGGAUAACGGUCUGAAAGGGCUGCUAAUACCGGGUAUUCACUGGUCUCCGCAUGGGGUCUGGUGGAAAGGUUUUUUUCUGGUGGGGGAUGGGCUCGCGGCCUAUCAGCUUGUUGGUGGGGUGAUGGCCCACCAAGGCUUUGACGGGUAGCCGGCCUGAGAGGGUGACCGGUCACAUUGGGACUGAGAUACGGCCCAGACUCCUACGGGAGGCAGCAGUGGGGAAUAUUGCACAAUGGGCGCAAGCCUGAUGCAGCGACGCCGCGUGAGGGAUGGAGGCCUUCGGGUUGUGAACCUCUUUCGCCCGUGGUCAAGCCGCGACGUGGGUCGUGGUGAGGGUAGUGGGUAAAGAAGCGCCGGCUAACUACG
Molecule: ribosomal RNA, 486 nt
Filed under: uncultured bacterium
Lineage: Bacteria
Description: partial 16S ribosomal RNA
Rfam family: Bacterial small subunit ribosomal RNA
Source: RNAcentral